This 717-nucleotide small RNA is filed under the name Pan troglodytes (chimpanzee). RNAcentral's name for it is "retained intron". The record is from RNAcentral. Lineage: Eukaryota; Metazoa; Chordata; Mammalia; Primates; Hominidae.
AAAAAAGGAAGUUCAGAAAGACAAGCCCUGUGAACCCAAGUCCCAAAAAAUAGAAGGAAAGUCAUGGUCAGGUGAAUUUUUUACUUGUAACUGGAAAAUGAAGUAUGUCACAUUUGAAGAUGAGGAACAGGCAAACUUAAUCUAUGGUAACUCCAGGUUCACAGAUUUACACUCAAUUAUCAGAAAUAUUCAGUCUUGCAAGGAGGUAAAAGGCAGAACUGCCUUCAAUGGAGUUUCAUUCAAUCUGCUCCAGUUUGUGCAACUCCUGGAGACAUUUGUUGGUGAAGACGCUCCCUUGAGUGUCAGCGAGACUCUCACCUCCUUUUUUAAGGAGGGCUAUGUUGAAACAGAACAAGAGAAAAUGAAUGCCUUAGAACAGUUUAGCCAAAAUGCUUUCCAAGUCCGACAGAGGCUUCUCCUAGAAGCCAUCUUUCAGAAGUGGGACAGUGAUGGCUCAGGCUUCCUGGAUCUGAAGGAAGUUGAUGAACUCUUGUACACAUACAAGGAGGGAAUGGAAAAAGAAUCUAUGAAGAAAGGUAAAAUAUAAGAAUGUUCUUAUUUAAAUUGUGGUAAUUAACUUGGCUUCAACUUUCUCAGUACACAUAUACAGUGAAAAUACUGGUUAUGCUAAAACCACUAGAUAACCUUCAUGUCUACCAGUAUAGAUAUACAUUUAUCUUAUUUAUUUUUAAUUUCUAAAAAUAGAGAUAGGAGUCU